CCCGAGUGUAAUCGAAUAAGGGCUCGAGUUCUUCCUUAAAUUCUGCCUGCAAGAUUGAAAAAGUUUGGAACUGAUUCAUGAAAGAAACCAAAUUUUUUUAAAAAUAAAAUAAAAUCCUAGCAUUGUCAGAGAGAGAGAGAGAGAGACCGCACCAUCAUCAACCUCGAAAACGUCACUUUUCUUUAUUUUCUGAAACUCGCCGAAAACGCAAAGAGCAGACUUUGUGACCUGCGGAGAGUAUUUGAAUCGUUUUAAGCAGAAUAAUUAGAAUUUCAAAUUGCGAUGAUAAUUCAGAUACUACUCUCCGAGCCCCUGGUUUUGGGCUUCACCAAAUUGGGCCCGAGUUCUCGUUCUUUUUUUUUUUUUUUAUUAUUUUUAUUUUUUUUUUAUUUGCCCCAAACAUCUCUUAUCUCUUUAUAGAUUUGCAUCCAGGAUUUUUUUGAAAAGUAGCCACAUGUCCGAUUCAAAAUUGAAAAAUAGCAAAAUUUUUUUUUUUUAAAUAACCAAUUUUUAACAUAUUUGGACCAAAAUAUCUUUUAUUAUAUUUUUUAAAAUUUUUUUCUUGAUUUCCCUUUCUUUUUCCCUUUCAAAACUUAGCUAGGACUUUCUCUUUCUAAUUUCCCUUUCAAAAAACACCAUUGCAGUCACUACUAAAAGCCAGUUAUCAUCGCAGCCGCAUCAUUGCCAUAGCCAUCAAGAGCUAGUCAUCACUGCAGCUGCAUCAUUAUCAUCACCACCAAGAGCCAGUCGUCGCAGCACCAACACCAUUGCCAUCGCCGCAUCUGCACCAUUGCUGUCACCACCAAAAGCUAGUUGUCACCACAGCUGCAGGAUAAUUAAUCCAAGAAAAUUUUAUAUAUGAAACUCGUUGAAAAAAAAAAAAAAAGGAUUUAGACAUGGCCAUUGAAGAUUUGGAAGUAGAAGAGGAGGACCCAUUUCUUAGAUUCAUUGAAUAUGCCAGAUCCAUAAUAUCCCCAAAAGAAAAAGAAGAAGAAGACCAAGAUGUAGAUCCCAAAAUUGGAAAUGGAAAAGAGACCAAAUGACCCAGUUGAAAUUGGAUUGCUUCUCGAAUCCUCAUGACUUGUACUGCUUAUUCCAGUGAUGCUACCCCAGCAAUUCUUCUCUUUGAUAUCACUUAGGAGGUACAGAGCUUUUUUUUUUUCUUUUUUUUUUUUUUACACUUAAUUUCAUAUUUUUUCAAUGUAUUCUGUGGUGUUUGGUUAAUGAGAAAAUUGAGGGAAAAGAAAAAAAAAAAAAAAACCAAAGUUUGAACCUUUGUUUUGGGUUUUUGGUUAUGGAAAUGGGUACAGGUAAAGAUUUUAGAUUAACCAAGUUUUAUUUCUACUAACGGGGAAUUAGGGAUGUGUGGAAUGUUGUAGGCGUGGGGUGAGCAACAUAGAGAUGGGACUACUAAGAAAGGCCUGAAUGUAUCAACCAGUUGAGGAAGAAAUAUAGAAGAGCAAAGCUUCCAAACAUUGUUAUGAUUGACUCCAUUUAUGAAAAAAAUUUCUUGUCUUUGAAUAGUGUUUUGGAAGCUAUUAUUGUCAAUGCUUAUUUGCUCCCAGGUAUUCUUUGCAAAUCUAAAAAUCCUCAUGUUGUUUUACUUCAAUGGAGGCUUCG
Ziziphus jujuba (common jujube) is the source of this 1620-nucleotide long non-coding RNA. RefSeq lists it as uncharacterized. The record is from RefSeq and is a predicted model, not a curated record. Lineage: Eukaryota; Viridiplantae; Streptophyta; Magnoliopsida; Rosales; Rhamnaceae. The transcript has 3 exons.